UACAGAGGGUGCGAGCGUUAAUCGGAAUUACUGGGCGUAAAGGGUGCGUAGGUGGGUCUGUAAGUCAGUGGUGAAAUCUCCGAGCUUAACUCGGAAACUGCCAUUGAUACUAUAGGUCUUGAAUUAUCUGGAGGUAAGCGGAAUAUGUCAUGUAGCGGUGAAAUGCUUAGAUAUGACAUAGAACACCAAUUGCGAAAGCAGCUUACUACGGAUCGAUUGACACUGAGGCACGAAAGCGUGGGGAUCAAACAGG
Molecule: ribosomal RNA, 253 nt
Filed under: uncultured bacterium
Lineage: Bacteria
Description: partial 16S ribosomal RNA
Rfam family: Bacterial small subunit ribosomal RNA
Source: RNAcentral